GUUAUUUAUGACUUCACUCGAAAUUUUUGUGGUGUUCCUUAAACCUUCACACCCUAAAAAUCACUCUCGCUCUAAAAUCACUCACUCACACCCUCCAUUGGAACCCUAAACUCCACCGCACAUGUCUCUUCCGCGUUGGCCCUCCCCCUAGAACCCUACCUCCUCUGCGCGCUCCUUCUCUAGAUUGAGAGACCAUCAAUUCCAAGGAUUCCAUGCUAAGACUCAUGUGGUGAUGGUUGGAACGACAUUGGCGAGAGUGGUAGGGGAUAACAAGGAAGAAGAGGAAUCUGGUGGUUUGAGAGGUUCUGCUUGUCGAGGAACGAAUCCUUAGGCACACGGUAAGCACCAUGAAGGCAAAUGAUGGUGAUGCCAAGCAUGAGAGCCAAGAUGAUAACAAAAGCAAAGUUGAUGAGGAACACGACGAAGACGACGAGUCCAAAAAGGAUAACUAAGGUGAUACGAUGAGAAAGAAGAGGUUGAAGAGGUGACAGUGUUCAUGAUAAGCUAGGAGAAUUGUUUGGGACCUUUUUAUUUUAAGUUGUUUCCCCUUUAAUUAGUUUUGAAUAUAGGUUACAAGGAAUGGGUUUUAAGAGAGGAUAUGGGGUUAUAAUAUUGAAAGGGUAUUGGAAACGAUGCAUUUGCUACUAGAUCCUUCUACCCUAGAGACUUUUCUUGGCAGAGUCCCAAUGGAAUUCAAUGUUGUUAUAUUGUCUCCUUAUGGCCUCUUCGACAAGCCAAUGUCUUGGGUUUGCCUGACACUAGUGGACACUUUUAUUUUCAAAAUUCCAUACAAUUUGUAAAAGGUGUUCAUUUGCGAUUUUAUGUGUUGUCUCGCUACUUGAUAAGAAGAACCUAACAAAUUUUUAAGUUUAUUUUUAAAUCAA
RNAcentral lists this small RNA (884 nucleotides) under Vigna angularis var. angularis. RNAcentral's name for it is "Non-protein coding transcript". Lineage: Eukaryota; Viridiplantae; Streptophyta; Magnoliopsida; Fabales; Fabaceae. The record is from RNAcentral.